Molecule: ribosomal RNA, 887 nt
Filed under: uncultured bacterium
Lineage: Bacteria
Description: bacterial SSU rRNA
Rfam family: Bacterial small subunit ribosomal RNA
Source: RNAcentral
GAACGCUGGCGGCAGGCUUAACACAUGCAAGUCGAGCGGGGAAAGGUAGCUUGCUACCUGACCUAGCGGCGGACGGGUGAGUAAUGCUUAGGAAUCUGCCUAUUAGUGGGGGACAACAUUCCGAAAGGAAUGCUAAUACCGCAUACGCCCUACGGGGGAAAGCAGGGGAUCUUCGGACCUUGCGCUAAUAGAUGAGCCUAAGUCAGAUUAGCUAGUUGGUGGGGUAAAGGCCUACCAAGGCGACGAUCUGUAGCGGGUCUGAGAGGAUGAUCCGCCACACUGGGACUGAGACACGGCCCAGACUCCUACGGGAGGCAGCAGUGGGGAAUAUUGGACAAUGGGCGAAAGCCUGAUCCAGCCAUGCCGCGUGUGUGAAGAAGGCCUUUUGGUUGUAAAGCACUUUAAGCGAGGAGGAGGCUACUGAGAUUAAUACUCUUGGAUAGUGGACGUUACUCGCAGAAUAAGCACCGGCUAACUCUGUGCCAGCAGCCGCGGUAAUACAGAGGGUGCGAGCGUUAAUCGGAUUUACUGGGCGUAAAGCGUGCGUAGGCGGCUUUUUAAGUCGGAUGUGAAAUCCCUGAGCUUAACUUAGGAAUUGCAUUCGAUACUGGGAAGCUAGAGUAUGGGAGAGGAUGGUAGAAUUCCAGGUGUAGCGGUGAAAUGCGUAGAGAUCUGGAGGAAUACCGAUGGCGAAGGCAGCCAUCUGGCCUAAUACUGACGCUGAGGUACGAAAGCAUGGGGAGCAAACAGGAUUAGAUACCCUGGUAGUCCAUGCCGUAAACGAUGUCUACUAGCCGUUGGGGCCUUUGAGGCUUUAGUGGCGCAGCUAACGCGAUAAGUAGACCGCCUGGGGAGUACGGUCGCAAGACUAAAACUCAAAGGAACUG